Prunus persica (peach) is the source of this 1979-nucleotide long non-coding RNA. RefSeq lists it as uncharacterized. The transcript is spliced from 3 exons. NCBI's taxonomy places the organism in Eukaryota, Viridiplantae, Streptophyta, Magnoliopsida, Rosales, Rosaceae. The record is from RefSeq and is a predicted model, not a curated record.
UGAUAUCAGGGGUUAAACUUUCUUGCAAACCAUCAUAUGUGUUGCUGCCUUCCCUCAGCACAAAAGGUCAAGAAAAAUUGCAAGGCCCUCGCUGUUCAUAGACUAUCUUCCCACAACACAAACUUGUCUAUAUUAACUUUGCUUUCCAUUAAGGGUGAUUGGCGAGAUGCAGUGUCCUUGUGCUUGAGGGUAGGCUGGGUGGAGGGUGAGGCUUGUGCUCAGUAGGUUACGGCUUGGAAGAGCAUGCUUUUUGGUUAGGUUUUAAUUUAGAGGGCAUUUGGGUCAAUUUAAGUGAAUUGUAUUCUUUGGAGGUCCAGUUCAGAGCCUCCAGAUCAGCUGUACGAUAAUGCUCCUCGUUCCACCCACUGGUCUGAGAAAGUCACCUCUACCUUGACAAGCAUGGCCAGACGAAAGGCUUCACCGAUCUCUUCAUCCACUUUUCCCCUGCGGAUGCUGAGAUCGAGCUUGGCUGUUCUUAAUCUUGUGAGUGAUUUUCAUUAAACCCACAACCACAUAUAUCUUGCAUCUCUAAUCGUAAAUCUUUUUUCUCUAGGUAAAAUAAUUCAGUAAGAUGGGGUUGAGAAUUUUCCUAAUUACCUGUAAAAAUUGUGGGCAACUUAGUAGUUGUACAUAUUUAUAUUUUCUUGUUUUGGUUAAUAGUAUUGAAAAGGAUGUUACUGGAACUAGGUUCUGGAUAAUUGUGAAUGUUUUGUUUCCCCUAUAACAGUAAUAGGAGUAAGUAGAAGUGAUUCAUAACUACAAACCGUCUUGAGCUUGAAUUUCUACAGUAUUUGCCUUUAUUUCUCUGUUCUCCUUUGUUAGUAUCAUCCUUAGAUUUAGGACCUUGAGACCAUAUUGUCACAGCUGAUCGUGGUGGGCGAGUCCUUGUUGCUACCGUCUUGAGCUUUAAUUUCUAAGGCAACUGUUUUAUCAUUGUUCUUAUUAGUAUCAGUAUUUGCCUUCAUUUCUAUGUUCUCCUUUUCACCAUUAUCAACAACUUUUUUUCUAAAUGCCCAUCAGCCAUUUUUCAACCUAAGUUCUCCAGAACCAGAUUUCUUUCUGAGGCUAUUUGCUCUUUUUAGCUACAUUGGCUGUUUCAUUGUCUAAAUUUGGCCUGUUGCACUGGAGGGCUUAGAAGCCCUGGGCUGGGAAGUUACUAGAAUUUUCAAAAAUCCACCACUGCUUUCCAAAAAUCCUAAGAAGUUACUAGAAUUUUCUGCUAGGAAGUCGAUCAAUCAUGCCUGGCAGAUCUCAAUCUGUCUCUUCAAUUUGAAGUUGUGGUUUUUGAACCUCUUCAACUAUUAGAGCCCUUUCUAGUGCACUUCUCAAUAUCCUUUCUGCUUGAAGAAGCGCUGCAAUCUGAAGAAAUGCCAAAAGGGAAUGUAAAACUCUGUGAUGAGCCCUCCUCAUGCUCAUAUAUAAUGCAUGAAUUGGUUUUAGAGAUGAAAAUUCGUUUGCCUCAUCCUUAUGCAUUUCAAUAGGAGAGAUGACAGACUCAAUUGGAGGAGAUUCAUCGUCCUUUUGAUUUGCAUGAAGCAUUCCAAGAGUUGCUUCUGCAGCAUAUUGUGCAGCCAAUGCAUCUCUCUUGUCAUAAAUUAGUUUCUUGAUUUCAAGAUUCUGCAUUUUAUGCAUAUUUGGUUAUGGAGAUUUGGACAUGAGCAUGACAAAGAGUUUUGAGUAGUGAUGAAAGUUGAUGAUAUUUUAGCCAUAUAAGGUACGAUUAGGAUACCAAAAAAUCUCAAUAAUUAAACACACCUACCUACCUACCCACCCUGUGUUCUAGAAGACUUGCAGUGACUCUCAGUUUCUCGCCCAAUUUCUAUACAAAUCUAUUCUACAGCCAUAUCCUUUAUAACUUCAGUAAAGCUCUAGGAGCCUUGAUCUCCCCUGGAUAGCAAUCCCUGUAAAUUUGGCAACUUGGUAGAUGUACAUAUUUUUAUAUUCUCUUUUUGGUUAAAUUGAGUUGAAGAUCAAUUAAA